RNAcentral lists this ribosomal RNA (399 nucleotides) under uncultured bacterium. Its description in RNAcentral is "bacterial SSU rRNA". It matches the Rfam family "Bacterial small subunit ribosomal RNA", at positions 355 to 751 of the family's 1533-position model. The record is from RNAcentral.
UAAGGAAUAUUGGUCAAUGGGCGCAAGCCUGAACCAGCCAUGCCGCGUGCAGGAAGACGGCCCUAUGGGUUGUAAACUGCUUUUGUCAGGGAAUAAACCCCCGCUCGUGAGCGGGGCUGAAGGUACCUGAAGAAUAAGCAUCGGCUAACUCCGUGCCAGCAGCCGCGGUAAUACGGAGGAUGCAAGCGUUAUCCGGAUUCAUUGGGUUUAAAGGGUGCGCAGGCGGAUUGGUAAGUCAGGGGUGAAAUCCCACAGCUCGACUGUGGAACUGCCUUUGAUACUGUCAGUCUAGAGUAUAGUUGAAGGGGGCGGAAUGUGUCAUGUAGCGGUGAAAUGCUUAGAUAUGACACAGAACACCGAUCGCGAAGGCAGCUCGCUAAGCUAUAACUGACGCUCAUG